Molecule: ribosomal RNA, 286 nt
Filed under: Salmonella enterica
Lineage: Bacteria; Pseudomonadati; Pseudomonadota; Gammaproteobacteria; Enterobacterales; Enterobacteriaceae
Description: partial 16S ribosomal RNA
Rfam family: Bacterial small subunit ribosomal RNA
Source: RNAcentral
AAAUUGAAGAGUUUGAUCAUGGCUCAGAUUGAACGCUGGGGGCAGGCCUAACACAUGCAAGUCGAACGGUAACAGGAAGCAGCUUGCUGCUUUGCUGACGAGUGGCGGACGGGUGAGUAAUGUCUGGGAAACUGCCUGAUGGAGGGGGAUAACUACUGGAAACGGUGGCUAAUACCGCAUAACGUCGCAAGACCAAAGAGGGGGACCUUCGGGCCUCUUGCCAUCAGAUGUGCCCAGAUGGGAUUAGCUAGUUGGUGAGGUAACGGCUCACCAAGGCGACGAUCCC